Juglans microcarpa x Juglans regia is the source of this 1229-nucleotide long non-coding RNA. RefSeq lists it as uncharacterized. The record is from RefSeq and is a predicted model, not a curated record. Lineage: Eukaryota; Viridiplantae; Streptophyta; Magnoliopsida; Fagales; Juglandaceae. The transcript is spliced from 4 exons.
UCACAAUAUGGGCCCGUUGGAGCUUUUGCAUAGACACAUUCAGAACUUGAAGGUGUCUACCGUUGGUGUUGGUGUCAUGGGCUACAUUGGAAACAAGAUUUCAAGAGUCUGUCGGAUUGGCGGAUUGCUAUAUAAAUUUUAUUUUUUGUUGUUUGUGAAAACAAGAGUUUUUUGGAGGUAAUAGAAUCUCUUGGACUUAUAUUAUGUGAUUGGCUAGACUUUGUUUAUAAUAAUAAUAAAAAAUGACUCGGAUUUGAAAACUUUCAUUUUGUAGCAGAGUUUUGUUGUUUGAGAAGUCAAAAUGGAGUCUACGAUUUAUAUUCUACUGCUGUUUCACUCCUUAACUUGGGCCUUGUAUUUUACCCUCAAAUGGCUGGUGUUGUGGUCUCUCUCUCACGUUCCUCCAUUCUUGCAAGGCGGAAAAUAUGCAUUGUGAUUGAAGCUCGAGUAUUUGGCGAUUGGAAAGAGAAAUUUCACCAGCAAAGGAUGCCAUUGAAGCUCCUGCAGUAACUGAUCUCCAAUGCAUAGAGGUUCUGUUUAAUAGCUGAUCAUUGCCUUUUUCAAUUGUUUUGUUGCAUAGUUGUUUGUUUUGACGAAGUUUACAGUUUACAGCAAUCAAUUAUGACAACAUACUCGAGGCAUUUAAUUGAUCAUGAAUUAAUUUUCCUUUGGUGUGAUUCAUUCCACAGAUCUGCCCUGUUUGUGGUCAUUAGGUUCUCUUUUUAUUUAUUUAUUUAUUUUUUAUUUUUAUUUUGGGUGGGGGGUUUGAACUCCAGACCUUCAUUUUGGAGACUGGGGGUUAUGCCAACCAGGUCACAGGCCUUUGACGGUCAUUAGGCUCUCUUGUCAUUGGCCAAAUCUCAAAUAAUCGAAAUAUAAUUGAACUUGUUAUAUAUAAAGUAGCAUCAUAUUACUCUUAUAAUUCAUGGAUGAUCGAUUUUGCCCCCGGAGGGGCAGAGAUUUGCAGUGAUUCUACAAGAAGAUUGACAUCAAUAUUUCUUUAUUCGAUGCAGAGCUAGCUCUUAAAAAAUCGUUGGAAAGGAAUUGACAAUGGACUAUUUGGCUGCGUCUCUCUUCUCUCACUUGAAGUUGCUAUUUGGUGUGAGAUUAAAUCACUGAUGGAAGACCCUGUUACUGAUUUUGUAACUCAUUUAUUGUAAUUGUGUUUUGUAAUGUAAUUUAUAAAUACCAAAUAAUGUAUUUUUUAGUGGAUUGCAUUAUGUGUUGCA